Molecule: Y RNA, 103 nt
Filed under: Prolemur simus (greater bamboo lemur)
Lineage: Eukaryota; Metazoa; Chordata; Mammalia; Primates; Lemuridae
Description: Y RNA (ENSPSMG00000003593.1)
Rfam family: Y RNA
About the family: Y RNAs are components of the Ro ribonucleoprotein particle (Ro RNP), in association with Ro60 and La proteins. The Y RNAs and Ro60 and La proteins are well conserved, but the function of the Ro RNP is not known.
Source: Rfam by way of RNAcentral
GGUUGGUCCAAGUACAGUGAUGUUUACAAUUAAUCGAGCACGACCAGUUAACAGAUUGCUUUGUUCCUUCUCCACUCCCACUGCUUCACUUGACCAGCCUUUA